RNAcentral lists this ribosomal RNA (740 nucleotides) under uncultured marine bacterium. RNAcentral's name for it is "bacterial SSU rRNA". It matches the Rfam family "Bacterial small subunit ribosomal RNA", at positions 9 to 795 of the family's 1533-position model. The record is from RNAcentral.
GAGUUUGAUCCUGGCUCAGAACGAACGCUGGCGGCAGGCCUAACACAUGCAAGUCGAGCGCGCCUUUCGGGGUGAGCGGCGGACGGGUUAGUAACGCGUGGGAAUAUACCCUUUGGUACGGAAUAGCCUCUGGAAACGGAGAGUAAUACCGUAUGAGCCCUUUGGGGGAAAGAUUUAUCGCCAAGGGAUUAGCCCGCGUUAGAUUAGGUAGUUGGUGGGGUAAUGGCCUACCAAGCCUACGAUCUAUAGCUGGUUUUAGAGGGUGAUCAGCAACACUGGGACUGAGACACGGCCCAGACUCCUACGGGAGGCAGCAGUGGGGAAUCUUGGACAAUGGGGGCAACCCUGAUCCAGCCAUGCCGCGUGAGUGAUGAAGGCCUUAGGGUCGUAAAGCUCUUUCGCCUGUGAAGAUAAUGACGGUAGCAGGUAAAGAAACCCCGGCUAACUCCGUGCCAGCAGCCGCGGUAAUACGGAGGGGGUUAGCGUUGUUCGGAAUUACUGGGCGUAAAGCGCACGUAGGCGGAUCGGAAAGUUGGGGGUGAAAUCCCGGGGCUCAACCCCGGAACUGCCUCCAAAACUAUCGGUCUAGAGUUCGAGAGAGGUGAGUGGAAUUCCGAGUGUAGAGGUGAAAUUCGUAGAUAUUCGGAGGAACACCAGUGGCGAAGGCGGCUCACUGGCUCGAUACUGACGCUGAGGUGCGAAAGUGUGGGGAGCAAACAGGAUUAGAUACCCUGGUAGUC